CAAUGGCUUUCCAGUCUUUUUUCAUCAUUUCGGCCUUGCACCUGAUGCAAAGCCGAAGAUGCUUUUUGGCAUGGGCCACGUUGUCAGCAGUCUCCUUGUCCAAAAUCUCUUUUCCCUUAACAUUCGCCAUGUUAACCUGAAACAUAAACGAACUUCUGUUAAUUACUUUCUUUUCAUUUUCCUGGUCGGCUAAUAUGAGCCGACCCUCGUCUAUUUCUUCUU
This 222-nucleotide long non-coding RNA is filed under the name Ananas comosus (pineapple). Its description in RNAcentral is "long non-coding RNA (ACOM_LNC015001)". Lineage: Eukaryota; Viridiplantae; Streptophyta; Magnoliopsida; Poales; Bromeliaceae. The record is from RNAcentral.